CCUACGGGAGGCAGCAGUCGAGAAUCAUUCACAAUGGGGGAAACCCUGAUGGUGCGACGCCGCGUGCGGGAUGAAGGCCCUACGGGUCGUAAACCGCUUUUGCACGGGGAUAACACCCUCCACUUGUGGAGGUCUGCAGGUACCGUGCGAAUAAGGGCCGGCUAAUUCCGUGCCAGCAGCCGCGGUAAUACGGAAGGCCCGAGCGUUAUCCGGAUUCAUUGGGCUUAAAGGGAGCGUAGGCGGGCGUUCAAGUCAGCUGUAAAAUCGCGCGGCUCAACCGCGCCCCGCAGUUGAAACUGGACGCCUUGAGUUCACAACAGGCAGGCGGAAUUCGUGGUGGAGCGGUGAAAUGCAUAGAUAGCACGAGGAACCCCGAUUGCGAAGGCAGCCUGCCGGGGUGCGACUGACGCUGAGGCUCGAAGGUGCGGGUAUCAAACAGGAUUAGAUACCCUUGUAGUC
RNAcentral lists this ribosomal RNA (459 nucleotides) under uncultured bacterium. Its description in RNAcentral is "partial 16S ribosomal RNA". It matches the Rfam family "Bacterial small subunit ribosomal RNA", at positions 338 to 795 of the family's 1533-position model. The record is from RNAcentral.